Molecule: ribosomal RNA, 406 nt
Filed under: uncultured bacterium
Lineage: Bacteria
Description: partial 16S ribosomal RNA
Rfam family: Bacterial small subunit ribosomal RNA
Source: RNAcentral
GACGAACGCUGGCGGCGCGCUUAACACAUGCAAGUCGAGCGACGCGGCGGACGGGUGCGUACCACGUGAGUAACCUGCCUUAGACCUUGGGAUAGCCUCGGGAAACCGGGAUUAAUACCAAAUGGUCUAAGAUGGACUCGCGUCCCAUUAGCUAGUUGGGAGGUAACGGCCCACCAAGGCGACGAUGGGGAGCCGGCCGUAGAGGGUGAACGGCCACAUUUGAACUGAGAAACGGUCCAAGCUCUACGGGAGGCAGCAGUGGGGAAUAUUGCACAAUGGAGGGAACUCUGAUGCAGCGACGCCGCGUGAACGAAGAAGGCUUUCGAGUCGUAAAGUUCUUUUAUAUGGGAAGCGGUACCAUAAGAAAAAGCCCCGGCUAACUACGUGCCAGCAGCCGCGGUAAUAC